UUCUCCAGCUGCCCAGACCCACUGAAUCAGACCCUGGGGUGGAGAACUCAGCAGACUAAGUUUAACAAGCCCUUCGGGUGAUUGAGAUCCACUGAUUUCAAAACGUGGCUGUACUCUGGGCUCCUCUGAGGAGUUUAAAACUAUUCCCUUGGGGUCUCCCCUCAGAUAUUACUAUGUGGUCACUCUGGAGAGGGCCCUGGGCAGCAGGAGUCUAAACAGCUCAGCAGGGGCCCUCCUCUGGCGGACAGGUGGUUAAGACUCCACCUCCCAAUGCAAGGGCCUGGGUUUGUUCCCUGCUUGGGGAUCUAAGAUCUCAAAGCUGCAUGGUGCAGGGCCAAAAGAGGAAAACUCAGCUGAUAACCCUGAUUUGCAGGGACAUUGGAGAUGCCUUGCUUUAGAGCUCGCUUUACUCCUUACCCAUUAAAACAAGUCUGCCUGGAAAGAGGUGCCAGCUCAAUAGCCUAGACCCACUUCUAAGGACACUGAUUGAAGGUACCCUUCCUGGAGAGACCUCGCUCAUACGUCAGCCCAGACGCCAGGCAUCCAGGGUCCCCUGUGCUGUCUGAACCCCAGUCUUCUCCUGAGCACCCAGGGGCUCCACAUUGUGCCCUGAACCCAAUAUCAACUGGCUUCACCUGAUACAGCAACUAGGCAAAGAUCGGUGGAAGAUAAUGAAGUUAAACAUGAUUCUUCUAUUUGACGCUGAUUAGUUUCAGAUUCGAGGGUAAUGCUUUUUUUUUUUUUUUUUAAUGAAUGGACAUCUUGACAUCUAAAUCUGCGUGUUGUAAAGACAAGCAUCACUUAAGAUACAAAGCAUAUGUGCUUUUCUGUUCUGUCAAGCAGUCUUGGUUGGACCUUCCCUGGGCUGCCAUAGUUGCUUUAUUUCAGCACAUCUGAGGCUGUCUUCCGGGUUACUCUGGCAUGUGGGCUGGGGCGACAGUGAGAUCCAAGUAUGUUUCCGCACAUAGUCAAGCUCUGUGUGUGUAUUAGUCGCUCAGUGGUGUCUGACUCUUUGCAACCCCAUGGACUGCAGCCUGCCAGACCCCUCGGUCCGUGGAGUUCUCCAGGCAAGAAUACUGGAGUGUGUUGCCAUUCCCUUCUCCAGGAGAUCUUCCUGACCCAAACCCUGCUGCUGCUGCUGCUGCUGCUAAGUCACUUCAGUCGUGUCCGACUCUGUGCGACCCCAUAGACAGCAGCCCACCAGACUCCGCUGUCCCUGGUAUUCUCCAGGCAAGAACAGUGGAGUGGGUUGCCAUUUCCUUCUCCAAUGCAUGAAAGUGAAAAGAGAAAGUGAAGUCACUCAGUCGUGUCCGACUCUUCUCGACCCCAUGGACUGCAGCCCAUCAGGCUCCUCCGUCCAUGGGAUUCUCCAGGCAACAGUACUGGAGUGGGGUGCCAUUUCCUUCUCCAGACCCAAGCCCUAAGAAUACGUUAAUAGCUUACUUAGGACCUAUAUUCUAAACGCAUUCUCUAAAAAACAGAGGGGUGACCUUUGGUGGGAAUGUAAAUUGGUGCAGCCACUAUAGAAAACAGUCUAGAGAUUCUUUUAAAAACAUAUGAUCCUGCAAGCCCAUUCCUGGGCAUAUAUCUGGAAAAGGCGAAACCUCUAAGUCGAAAAUUUACAUGCCCCUCAGGGUUCACAGCAGCACCAUUUGCAACAGCCGGGACAUGGAA
Molecule: long non-coding RNA, 1674 nt
Organism: Bos taurus (domestic cattle)
Lineage: Eukaryota; Metazoa; Chordata; Mammalia; Artiodactyla; Bovidae
Source: Ensembl